Manis pentadactyla (Chinese pangolin) is the source of this 8885-nucleotide long non-coding RNA. RefSeq lists it as uncharacterized. Lineage: Eukaryota; Metazoa; Chordata; Mammalia; Pholidota; Manidae. The transcript is spliced from 8 exons. The record is from RefSeq and is a predicted model, not a curated record.
AGACCUUUGUCUUCCUCUCUUAGGUCAUUAACUCACUUCUGCAAGACAGAGUACUAGUCUGGGAGACAGGAGAGUUCAAGUUCUAGACCUAGUCCAAGCCGCUAAGCUGGCUGACCUUGGGCAUGUCCUGGUUUCCUCAUCCAUACAUUAAGGGAAGUAACUGAAAUACCUGAGUAUUUCACCUUUCAAUUGGAUAUGUCACCCUGUCCAUUUCAGCCCUUCCUGCCAUUCCUCUCCCCAUUCCUAAGGGAAGCUCACAGCUUGCCUACAGCUCCUGCUGCCCAGGCAGGCCUGUCUCACAGGCCUGUGUGAGAAGUCCCUCCCUCCUACAUCUCCCUCCAUCUUACAGGCCUAGGGAUUGGUUUAUGACCCAAGAGAAGUUGCUUCACAAGCUGGCUUUGUUGUCAGGCUUAAAUAAGAUGAACUAGAUUCAUCUCUCUUUUUUGUUUUUCUUUUUUGAACAAAGGAGCCCCAAAGGAAUUUUCUAGUUAACAGUAAGGAUAGAAGAGAUUCCAGACCCUACAAUACUCAGCUGAACUUCUUUUCUAUCCUAUCUUUAAGACUUAAUGCUCCAUUCAUACAAUGCUCUUGCUUUACCUGGACAGAGAAUCUUGAGUAGCCUUUGGGAGUGAGAAGAUGAAGCUUCUCUUCAGAAUUUCUAAGAGUUAGUGGGAGAAACAGACAAGUAACCCACCUUCAGCCUGUCGCCACUUCAGGACCAUCUAAUAUCCUAGAGGAAGAGGGAGUUAGUCUCAGAUCUGCUUCUGGGCUACCCACACUUCAGCUGUCUUCUCUAUAGUGUGUUGAUAGAAAUCCAAGUUCAGAUUCCAGAACUGCCAUUUACUGGCUAUGUGCUAUUGAACAAAUAACCUCUCUAGAUCUCAGUUACCACACCUGAAAGAUGGAGAUAAUGAUCACUGAUAUCUCAUAGGACUGCUGUGAGAAUUAUGUAGGCACGAUACUUUGCUCUGCUGUUUAACUCCUGGCUUUUGAACAUGACUAUAUACCUGGGGAAAGAUCACUCUUUCAUACCUCUCUACUGCUUCAGUGUGUGUUUUACAGUUGUUAUCAGCCAGCUGAUUAGGGGUGGAACCCAAGGAACAGAGGAAAGGGGCCUGCCCCAAAUCUUACAGCACAUUCAAGCUGGUGCUCUGCGUGGGGCUCUGGGCCCUGCCUCCGAUGGGUCCCCAGAGCUGCUUCCAGGCACCAGAGAGGGGCUCCCCAGCAAGGAAGCAGACGCCCAGAAUGACCAGGCUGCUUGUCCGAUGUUGUGCAGCCAGGUGCCGGCAGUGGGACGGAAUCUGCUGGCUCCCUCACCAGUGGACUAGUUUUGAGGUAAUGAGGAUCAAACAGGGUCUUGUGUCUGGAAACCCUUGAAAUUGUAAAGAAUUGAGGAACUGCUACUUGGGAACCACUGGAUCAAGGCAUCACUUCAGGGAAACAGAAAUGGAGGGCCUGCGAAGCUGUUGUUCAGGAAAGGCUCAAGGCACUGCUGUGGAGGUCGCACAUUCUGACUAUCAGGCAAGACAGAGGAAUGUGAGCCAGAUCGUGGUAUAGUCAUUUGGGUUCAUAGCUAUUCUAGUGGUCACAUCUAAAAGACACUGAUGUCAGCUAGCCGGAUCUCUAGUGGUCCAGAAAAAGGCAUUAAACUGGAGGAAUGGAAACAGAAGUAGGUAAAAACCAACUUUGGCAGUGCAUUAAAUUGGCAGGCAGGCAAUCAAGAGACAGGGGUUGAUACCUUCAUAUUGUAGACUCUGUUAAAGAAUUAAACCAAGUAUUAAAAUUCCAGAUGGUUGAAACAAAUGUAAGCAGCAUGACAGCAGUGACUUUUCAGUGUCUGAUGCUGGGUUACCAGGAUCUAGACAGGCUCCACAGUAGGAGCUCAACAAAUGCUUUCCAAAUGAAUGAGCAGGCUACGACGACUGCUUGCACUGGAUUCAAAGAAGUAGUCACUGAUGCCUGAGACACAGGAGAAAUUUAUGGGUUAAGUGGUCAAAACCCAGAUGUGGCCAGGUUUGCCCUAUGAAUUAUAAACAAGGAGCUGAAGACCAAGAGCAAGUCCCACACAACUAGAAGCUGGAUAAAGGACUACACUUUCUCUUGCUGAAUCACAGGGUCUCAACUUUUUAAUAAAUCUCAAUGACCUCAGCUCUUGAAAUGUCAGUUUUUGCAUUUUUUUGGUAAAAUUUACAGAACAAUUGAUAGCAAAAGUUGUAAUAAUUUUUAUGUUGGCAAAUGCCACCAUAAUGUGAAAUCAUGUCUUUAUUAUCCAUAUUUGUUUAUGGCCCCUAACUGGCAUUGUAGUGCUGCUUCCUCCUUAUUAUGUAGCAGCAGGAGGUGGUGGGAAGGUGGAGAAUGAGGAGGGGGCUGAGAAACAUCUCAUUCUCACAGGUCAGUCCUGGGGCCAAGUCCAUCAGACACACUCAGCAUUCCCUCCAGGGGCUCUACAGGUGUAUGAGGCCAAAGCGUAAAGAGGGGUUUUCUUUACAGUAUUCUCUGAAUGUUUUCAGUGCAAUUCUAGUAUCAGAACUCUUCAACUGCCACCAAAUUCUGCUGUGAGGGAAAGAAAAAUGAGGGAGAGAAAAGAAAAAUUACGUUUUUAGAACACAUUGUUCCUCUUCAACUGUGAACAAGGAAAACUCUUUUUCCUUUUAAAUGAGAAGUAGGUGAGGGUAUGGCGUUAAGAUACGAAGUUAAAUAUACUCUUUCCCCAUUUCAUUGCAAAUGAAUCUUUCCUUUUUCUGAUGUUCUGUGCACCUAGGACACACCAAAGUGUGAAUAACCAAAAUGACUUUCACAAGACAAGGGAGGAGAUGUUGGUUCAUUUUCCACCUAUCUUGGGAAAGCCAGUUGUUUCAUUGGCAUAUACUGUUAGCUUUCUUAGAUACUGAUGUAUUUCAGGACUUCAGUUUGGCUAUGUAUCAAGUACAUGACAAGCUGUUUCUUUUGUUGCAAAAGUUUUCUUGCACUUUCUCUGCCACUUGGAAGUUAGGUAUCGUCCUGAAGCUUUCUGUGGCCAAUGAAAUGUGACCUAAUAUUACACAUCACUUCCAGGUGGAAUUUUUGAUAAGAGCCAGUCAUGAAGGGCUACUUUUUCUUUCCUUCUGCCUGGUGUCUCUCAAUUUCAGAUGGUGGCUGCUCCAUCAGCCUGGGUCUUGAAAUGAAGAUACUGUGGAACAGAACCCUCAGCCAACCUUCACAGAAAAUAAAACUUUGUUGUAAUUUGGGGACUUUUUUUUUUACUGCAGCAUUACUGAGCCCAUAUUGACUAAUACAAAUAUCAAAACUUUAUUAUUAUAUAAAAACAGUCAGUAUGUUGUCCAGGUCUCCCAGAUAGUCAGUGGCAGAGCACACAGACAUGACAUGUUUACCUGACUCAGAGGGUUACAAUGUUGUCAAUAUACUGUUCUUACAGUUAUUUAUAUCCCUGUUUUAUCUCUCAUGCUGGAUAUUCUUGGGUAGUAGAGCUGAGAGAUGUCUAACUGGUUCCCUAUCAUGAUUCUUUGUACCUGGAGCAAAGAUGAUACACAUAUAUACACACAUAUACACGUAUAUAUUUAUAUUUGCUUAAUAUUAAUAUAGUCAAUAGCUAAUAUUCAUUAAAUGUUGACUUUAAUGUAAUAAGAUUUUUCCCAACCUAGUUUCCUAAUAGUAGGCCAAGCAUGGUAAAAACAAAUCUUUUCUCACAGAAAUUUCUAUGUUUAUGCAGGAAAAUCGUGGUGGUUUUUAAGUGCCACAAGUUCUCCCAUGCUCUUACCUCCAAAAGAUGGAGGCUACUUCCUCUAUGCCUUGAGUGCAGGCUGGACUUGGUGACUUCUCAUAAAUAACACAUGGAGGAAUCGGCAGUGUAUGACUCAGCUGUAAUGGGCAGAGUGGCUUCCUUACUGUUCCCUCCUGGGACAUUCACUCUGAUGGAAGCUGCCUGCCAUUUUGUGAGGAUACAAACAACUUGGUGGAGAGGCCAGUGUUGCAUGGAAUUGAGGCUUCCUGCUAGCAGUCACAUGAGUGAGCUUAGAAGUGGACCCUCCUGCCUCAGUCAUACCUUCAGAUGACUGUGUUCUGAUGGACAUGUCCACUGCACCCUCAUGAGAGAUCCUGGGCUCGAACUUCCCACAUGAGCUACUACAGGAUUCCUGACCUAUAGAAACUAUGUGGGAUAUCCGCUUUUUUAAAGCCAAAUAUUUGGGGUAAUUUGUUAUGCAACAAUAGAUAACUCUCUCUCUAUAUAUAUAAUAUAACCUCUUUUUGGAAAAGUCAUAGCCUUGUUUUCAUAUCUGAUCAUCAUAGACAUGGGUAAAACUCAUGUGACAGUGAAAAGAAAUGCAUUGCUCAGAGUGUCAAUACCUUGUGAGUUCACAUAUGCAAGGAAAAUGACCUGUGAUGCUGAUUUUUGUAAGCAGUCUUUUUUUUUUUAAGGUAAACACUCAACCAAUUUUUAAAAAAUGUCCAAUUUGCAAAAGAUGUUUUCAACAGUGUGAUCUACAAGAUUCUGAGAUCUUGAAAGGUAGGUCUGAUGUCUUGCCUUUUACCGUACCUAUUUCCUGCUCUUCUCCAGACAACCACAUCCCCUCCAAGUGCCUAGGAUUGUGUUUUAUGUAGGUAGGCACUCAGUUUCCUUAUUGAAUAAAAUAACAUUCAGCUGCUUUCUUUUAAGAAUUAUUCACUUUGCCUCUGCCAUUCUCUCUCACCAAAAAUCAAACAUCUUGUCCCAUGUUUGUUUUUGCUUUUAGGAGAGGGAAUCAUUAUGUUUUCUCCUUGUAUUCAUCUCUAAGGAAGCAUUUUCUGCAAAGUGUUAUUUUGAGAGUCAUGGACCAGUUGGUUUGGUAGUUGAAACAGGAUUGGCCUGAUUUCCCCUAGACUUUGAGAAUACUUUGUUCUCUGUCUCUUGGGAGUUGGUGUUCAUUCACUGGUCUGUUUUCUGCCAUGUGCCAGGGUAACUUUGAAGGGGGUGAUGGCCUCAGUAGACUGGACCAAGAAGAGCCUUGGCCGCUGGUGGUGAUGUAGUCUCCGCAUUUCCUGUGGAUGCACGUUGGACUACCCUCUGGAUGUCACGCAAGUGCAGUUCCGGCCCUUAGGCUCUGGCUCGGCAUUCAGCCUCUAUCAACUUCGGUGCUUGCUCGGCAGUACGGUGAAAAAGCUGCAUUUAUUUAAGUCUCAUUAGGGCUGAAUCCUGCUCCCACUCAGUUGUGAGUCUUCAGCUUUGUUUAGAAACUUGUGAAUCAUUAACUGAAACUCUAGAGCAUAGCUGUGAAAAUAAUUGUGGUUCAAUAAUGAGGUAAUAAACUUCUUUCUAAGUUACAUUCAAAAUAAUCCACCAAAAAAAAAAAAAAGGAAAAAAAAUCCGCCAACCCGUGCCACCUGUCAGCAUAAACUCCCCGGCAACGUCUGCCCGCCUGGGGUGAGAACGGGAGUGCACAGGGCUGCUUCCAGGUUGCCUGCCCUGGCAGGGGUGGCGGUGUGGUGAGGCUGUGCCCUGGGCGAGAAGUGUGCUCAGCGCGGCCUUGUGCUCCGCAGUUGGCGUUUGGAUGAUACCACUCUGGGGAAACAGACACAGUGUCAGAGUCAAGCUGCUACCAGUGGGUGUUUCUAUACACGACUACUAAGCAAUGAGAAAGUUCAAUGGGGAAACCAUGGGCAUCGUAACAGCCUUUGAGAGUACAUGGCAUCCACUGUGGCCCAUUGUGCAGCAGACUGCACUCCACAUGACAUGCCGUAGGAAUACCAGGAGCGAGUGUUUUAAAUCUUAUUGGAGACGCCCUAUAAAUGUUGCCACUUGAGGGAUCUAUUCUGGGAGAAAAAUAUAGCAUGUCCUCCUGGGAUGCUGCUUGGAUUCAUUACCAGUAUUGCGGAUGGGAUCGAGUGUGGCAAUGCUUUUAUCACGAUUAUAAAGUGGUUACGAGCCAAUUCCUCGUAUAAAACAUACUCAAUAAUGUUGAGGCUUUUUUUCGCCUUUUCUGUUUCCUUCUUUUAUUUCCUUCCUUCCUUUCUUUUCUUUCCUUUUUGUUUUUGUAAUGACAAACAUGAUGUCAGACAAAGGGCACCAGGACUUAGUCUUUGUAGUACAAAACAAAAUAACAAUACAUAAACACCUUUGUGAAGGCAGCUCAGAACCCCAUGUUUUCUAUUAAAAAGUCAUGUUCAAUCUUCACUGUUGAUAGAACCGAAUAGCUAACACAGAGAACAUUGUAUAUCAGAAAGGUCAAUAGUUAUUAUGAGCUACAAAUAUAUUUUUUUCCAUCCUUCAGGCUGUUUAGUGCAUAUCACAGCAUGAGCAGCUGUCUUCUUUAAUGCUUUUAAAAUUAGAAUUCCAAAGAGGAAGAAAAAAUUAUGGUUGCAAUGAUUGCUCUUUGCUUUUGUAAGUUUACUUUAAUAUACUAUUUUAUAUACAUGAAUCCUCUGUGUAGCCUAUCCAUGGGGCAGUAACUGGUUGCCAGUACUGAGCUGAACUGCCAUGUUUAUUUUCUUAGCAUUCUGGCCAAGUCUCCAUUGCAGGAGCAGAUGUUGUCGACAUACUAUAUAUUAAAACGGAGUUAUACAGAGGAGUCUGGUUACAGAGGCAUUUGCAAACAUACACAUAUGCAUUCUGCCUUUUCAUUGCUUUAAAGCCCUGUGACUAACUGCAACAACGCCAUGUGAUGAGCCACAGUUAGGCAGCACUGGGUGAAAACUCAGGCAGUGAUUCAAACCACUGAUAGGCAAAGUAUCACUCUCCAUGUGCAGGCCUCGGGACUGAGUGUGCACCUUUUAAGUUUUUAAAGGUCGACCUUCUGCCUGUCCCUGGAACGUCUUACCUUUACUCAGUACAUGGCCCUAAAAGACGAUCUAAGUAGCACAUGGAAGCACACAUCAGAUGCUCACUUAGUCUUUGUUCAGUUAUUUAAUAAGGACUUAACCAAAUAUCUAUCCAGAGCUGGGGCCAUUUAUAACUGCUUACAUUUGGGAGGAGGAGAAAAGUACAUCAUCAUUUUUGGUAGUAGCUCUACAGAAGAACAAUGCAGAGAGUAAGGGGCUAGAGAGUUGGGAGGACCAUAUUUUGGUUGGGUGUCACAUGGCCUCUCUGAUGAGAUGGGUUUUGAGAAAAGACCAAGUCACCCGGAUAUCUGGAUGACGACACCAUGCCAUAUCUCCAUGCUCAUGAUUUGCAUUGUAACUUUAUGACUCCAGACUGGAAAAAGACCUUGUAGAAACUAUUAUCUGGAUAGAUAUGCACUAGUGACAAAGAAAUUAUAGAAAUAUUACCCUUUGAACUUUUGUCCAAAAUGAAAAUAAGUGAUACACUAAAGUGUCAUGAAAAUAAGUGAUAUACUAAAAUGUGACAUACAAAUGAUUUAACAUGUAGGAAACUAAAGAGGAGUUAAUGGGUGGAAUUGUUCCAAGUGUCCAAUGCCUCCCGGAUGGACCCACUGGUGUCGAGUCUUUGGGGAUUUCUCCAGAGAGAGCAGCUUCAUUAGAAAAAUGCAGCGAAGAUAGGGUAAAUAAAUGAUAUACUUUUCUUUGGUGAAUUUUGGUGGAAAAAAAGAAAGAGACUUGGGUAUGUUUCCUGAUUGAGAGAACUGAGCUUCAAGUUGUCCACAUUAAAAUUGAAGAAUUUAAAUCCUAAGGAUAUUUAAUCAGUGAUAGAGAAAGAGAGGUGAGCCUCUGAAAUGGGAAGGAGAAGAAAAAGGAGGAUGUGAGAGAAAAAGGGAGAAGAGAGAGAGAGUGUGGUGGGAAUGGUGGUGAAUGACUUAGAGAGUAAAGGUCGUUCACUGAGAUAAAGGAAGUGGGAGAAGGAGAGGAUUUUGAGAGUGGAAAAAAGCUAUGAAGCACAGCAACUAGGAUCAAUAGAAGACAAAUAAUAAGAUUGCGUAGUGGCUGGAAGUUGCAAGGCUUAAACGUAAGAGCAUACAUUUUCUAGGGUACCCUGAUGAUAGUAGCUUUGUGGCUUUUCCAGGCAAUUCUCAGGUCAGUGAGGUUUUCCCAGGGAUGGAAACUGGCACAAUGUAAUGAAAGAAAGUCAACAGAAUGAGGGAUUCCUUAAGAGACAAGAAAGUGAAUACUGGCAGUGAUGAGCUGGGAAAGAGGGAAGGAGACAAGACAGGGGGUGGUGACCAGGAGGAGUCAGCCAAUGGGGGAUUCUGUUCAGAGGAUGAUUUGUAAGAAUGUUUAUUGUUCUUAAAAAAUUUAUGUUUAUAUGUCUCUAUUUUUCCUAUGUUCAUAGAAAUUUGGAAAAUAUGAAAAGGUAUAAGUAAGAAAAAAAAUUCUCAGUAACCUUAUCACCCAAUUAUGUUCACUAUUGAAAUAAAUAUAUUUUGUUGUACUCUUAUUUACUUUUAUAAAUUUAUUUUGAAAUUGGGAUCAUUUCUAUUUUUCUCACAUUUUUAAUGUUAAAAAAGCUUAUAGCUCACUCUGUGAUAAGAGUUGUAUUUCUAUUAGGUACUUUUUGGGGAACAAAAGGAUAUUGGCACUCCAGUGGCCUUGGUUGCAAAUCAGCUUUUCCUUUUUUAAAAGAAAUGAUCAUAUCUGCAUUUUCCCAUAACAGUACAUCACUUGCAAACACACUAUUUUUACUGACUACGUAAUAUUUUAUUACAUGGUGAUGAAUUUCUUUGAAAUUAAUUUUCCUGUAAUUUCUUAGGUUGGAUUUCUAGAAAGAGUAUUACUGGGUCAGAGAGGAUGAGUUUUUCUUAAAAAGCUAAUAUGCAUAAAUGGAUUUCCAGAAAAGCUGUACUGUACCAGUUCACAUGUUUAUCGAUAAUGUUUGAUGAUGUUCCAUUUGAUUGCCAUCUUCAAACAUUUUUUCUCAUUUGAUAAAAAAUAUUAAAAUAGUAGAAGAUUCAAAGAAGAUAUUUUAUGGGGGUUUCCCUGAAAAAUUAUAUGUAAAAACAUCUCUUGUGUUUUAUUUGUAC